UCAGCUUGCUCUUUUAUCCAUUGUACAUGCUGUAAUUGGAUCUUUGGUUGUUCAUUGCAUAUGGAAUGCUGAUGUUAAACAUUUAUUGGAGUUCAACGAGUCGAAGAUAGCCAACUCAUCUAAAGAAGAGAGUGAUCCCAAAUCUAGCA
Arachis ipaensis is the source of this 149-nucleotide non-coding RNA. NCBI's taxonomy places the organism in Eukaryota, Viridiplantae, Streptophyta, Magnoliopsida, Fabales, Fabaceae. The record is from RefSeq and is a predicted model, not a curated record.